GUAGGUGGCGAGCGUUGUCCGGAUUUACUGGGCGUAAAGGGCGUGCAGGCGGUUCGUUAAGUUCGAGGUGAAAGCUCCCGGCUCAACUGGGAGAGGUCCCCGGAUACUGGCGGACUUGAGGGAGGUAGAGGAAAGUGGAAUUCCCGGUGUAGUGGUGAUAUGCGUAGAUAUCGGGAGGAACACCAGUGGCGAAGGCGGCUUUCUGGGCCUUACCUGACGCUGAGACGCGAAAGCGUGGGGAGCGAACCGGAUUAGAUACCCGGGUAGUCCACGCCGUAAACGAUGGACACUAGGUGUGGGGGUUAUCGACCCCCUCCCGUGCCCGAAGCUAACGCAGUAAGUGUCCCCCCGCCUGGGGAGUACGGCCGCAAGGCUA
RNAcentral lists this ribosomal RNA (376 nucleotides) under uncultured organism. RNAcentral's name for it is "partial 16S ribosomal RNA". It matches the Rfam family "Bacterial small subunit ribosomal RNA", at positions 527 to 896 of the family's 1533-position model. The record is from RNAcentral.